RNAcentral lists this ribosomal RNA (735 nucleotides) under uncultured Corynebacterium sp. RNAcentral's name for it is "bacterial SSU rRNA". It matches the Rfam family "Bacterial small subunit ribosomal RNA", at positions 28 to 776 of the family's 1533-position model. Lineage: Bacteria; Bacillati; Actinomycetota; Actinomycetes; Mycobacteriales; Corynebacteriaceae. The record is from RNAcentral.
GACGAACGCUGGCGGCGUGCUUAACACAUGCAAGUCGAACGGUAAGGCUCCAGCUUGCUGGGGUACACGAGUGGCGAACGGGUGAGUAACACGUGGGUGACCUGCCCUGCACUUCGGGAUAAGCCUGGGAAACUGGGUCUAAUACCGGAUAGGACCGCACCGUGAGGGUGUGGUGGAAAGUUUUUUCGGUGUGGGAUGGGCCCGCGGCCUAUCAGCUUGUUGGUGGGGUAAUGGCCUACCAAGGCGGCGACGGGUAGCCGGCCUGAGAGGGUGGACGGCCACAUUGGGACUGAGACACGGCCCAGACUCCUACGGGAGGCAGCAGUGGGGAAUAUUGCACAAUGGGCGGAAGCCUGAUGCAGCGACGCCGCGUGGGGGAUGACGGCCUUCGGGUUGUAAACUCCUUUCACCAUCGACGAAGGGUUUCUGACGGUAGAUGGAGAAGAAGCACCGGCUAACUACGUGCCAGCAGCCGCGGUAAUACGUAGGGUGCGAGCGUUGUCCGGAAUUACUGGGCGUAAAGAGCUCGUAGGUGGUUUGUCGCGUCGUCUGUGAAAUUCCGGGGCUUAACUCCGGGCGUGCAGGCGAUACGGGCAUAACUUGAGUACUGUAGGGGAGACUGGAAUUCCUGGUGUAGCGGUGAAAUGCGCAGAUAUCAUGAGGAACACCGGUGGCGAAGGCGGGUCUCUGGGCAGUAACUGACGCUGAGGAGCGAAAGCAUGGGGAGCGAACAGG